This 301-nucleotide ribosomal RNA is filed under the name uncultured bacterium. RNAcentral's name for it is "partial 16S ribosomal RNA". It matches the Rfam family "Bacterial small subunit ribosomal RNA", at positions 509 to 807 of the family's 1533-position model. The record is from RNAcentral.
CAGUCGCCGCGGGAAUACGAAGGGUGCAAGCGUUACUCGGAAUUACUGGGCGUAAAGCGUGCGUAGGUGGUUGUUUAAGUCUGCUGUGAAAGCCCUGGGCUCAACCUGGGAAUUGCAGUGGAUACUGGGCGACUAGAGUAAGGUAGAGGAUAGUGGAAUUUCCGGUGUAGCAGUGAAAUGCGUAGAGAUCGGAAGGAACAUCUGUGGCGAAGGCGACUAUCUGGGCCAUUACUGACACUGAGGCACGAAAGCGUGGGGAGCAAACAGGAUUAGAUACCCCGGUAGUCCCUGUCUCUUAUAC